This 957-nucleotide ribosomal RNA is filed under the name uncultured bacterium. RNAcentral describes it as "bacterial SSU rRNA". It matches the Rfam family "Bacterial small subunit ribosomal RNA", at positions 8 to 963 of the family's 1533-position model. The record is from RNAcentral.
AGAGUUUGAUCCUGGCUCAGGAUGAACGCUAGCGGCAGGCUUAACACAUGCAAGUCGAGGGGCAGCAGGGGUAGCAAUACUCGCUGGCGACCGGCAAACGGGUGCGGAACACGUACAGAACCUACCUCAGUCUGGGGCAUAGCCCGGAGAAAUCCGGAUUAACUCCCCAUAACAUAUAAGAGUGGCAUCACUUUAAUAUUAAAAAUUUAUUGGACUGAGAUGGCUGUGCGUCCCAUUAGCUAGUUGGUAGGGUAACGGCCUACCAAGGCGACGAUGGGUAGCUGGUGUGAGAGCACGACCAGCCACACGGGCACUGAGACACGGGCCCGACUCCUACGGGAGGCAGCAGUGAGGAAUAUUGGUCAAUGGGCGCAAGCCUGAACCAGCCAUGCCGCGUGAAGGAUGAAGGCCUUCUGGGUUGUAAACUUCUUUUAUGUGGGAAGAAAACUGAGGUUUCUACUUCAGCCGACGGUACCAUAGGAAUAAGCACCGGCUAACUCCGUGCCAGCAGCCGCGGUAAUACGGAGGGUGCAAGCGUUAUCCGGAUUUACUGGGUUUAAAGGGUGUGUAGGCGGGCUUUUAAGUCAGUGGUGAAAUCUCCGGGCUCAACCCGGAAACUGCCAUUGAUACUAUUAGUCUUGAAUUCUGUUGAGGUGGGCGGAAUAAGUCAUGUAGCGGUGAAAUGCAUAGAUAUGACUUAGAACACCAAUUGCGAAGGCAGCUCGCUAAACAGAUAUUGACGCUGAGGCACGAAAGCGUGGGGAUCAAACAGGAUUAGAUACCCUGGUAGUCCACGCCCUAAACGAUGAUUACUCGACAUACGCGAUACACAGUGUGUGUCUGAGCGAAAGCAUUAAGUAAUCCACCUGUGAAGUACGACCGCAAGGUUGAAACUCAAAGGAAUUGACGGGGGUCCGCACAAGCGGUGGAGCAUGGUGGUUUAAUUCGAUGAUUACG